This 515-nucleotide long non-coding RNA is filed under the name Capsella rubella. RNAcentral describes it as "long non-coding RNA (CRUB_LNC004238)". Lineage: Eukaryota; Viridiplantae; Streptophyta; Magnoliopsida; Brassicales; Brassicaceae. The record is from RNAcentral.
CUUUCCAGGGCUGUAGCUGGUCUUGGUGUGACUUGAUCGGGCGUUCCUUCUCUUGAUUUGCUGCUCGAACAUAACCGCUUUGUGAAGCAUCUCCUCAAGCUCCACAUAAUGUUGAGUUUCUAAACGAUCUUGGAUUUUUCUGUUAAGACCUCCCAUGGAUCGAGACAUGACCGCUUCUCCAUCUUCUUGAAGAUCGGCUCUUAACAUAAGGGUUUCCAUUUCCUUAAAGUACUCCUCGACGGUCUUGCUUCCUUGAACCAAAUUCCUCAACCGCUGAUGUAGUUCUUGAUGAUAGUAACUUGGCACAAAUCUUUUUCGCAUGACGGCUUUAAGCUGGUUCCAUGUGUCGAUCGGAUAGUCUCCGGCACGUCUUCGGCUAGUGACAAGUUGAUCCCACCAACUUAGGGCAUAGUCGUAGAAUUCAGUAGCCGCAAUUUUAACCUUAUUGCACUCAAGACUUUCUUGACAAAGAAAGACCAACUCAAUUUUCUGCUCCCAUUCCAAAUAAGUAUCCG